GGGGAUGUAGCUCAAUUGGCAGAGCGCUUGAAUGGCAUUCAAGAGGUAGUCGGUUCGAUCCCGAUCAUCUCCACCA
Molecule: transfer RNA, 76 nt
Filed under: Clostridiales bacterium
Lineage: Bacteria; Bacillati; Bacillota; Clostridia; Eubacteriales
Description: tRNA-Ala
Rfam family: tRNA
About the family: Transfer RNA (tRNA) molecules are approximately 80 nucleotides in length. Their secondary structure includes four short double-helical elements and three loops (D, anti-codon, and T loops).
Source: RNAcentral